This 261-nucleotide ribosomal RNA is filed under the name uncultured bacterium. Its description in RNAcentral is "partial 16S ribosomal RNA". It matches the Rfam family "Bacterial small subunit ribosomal RNA", at positions 1239 to 1500 of the family's 1533-position model. The record is from RNAcentral.
ACAAAGAGAGGCAAAGCCGCGAGGUGGAGCAAAUCUCAAAAAGCCGUCCCAGUUCGGAUUGCAGGCUGCAACCCGCCUGCAUGAAGUUGGAAUCGCUAGUAAUCGCGGAUCAGAAUGCCGCGGUGAAUACGUUCCCGGGUCUUGUACACACCGCCCGUCACACCAUGGGAGUCGGAAAUGCCCGAAGUCGGUGACCCAACCGCAAGGAGGGAGCCGCCGAAGGCAGGUCCGGUAACUGGGGUGAAGUCGUAACAAGGUACC